Sorghum bicolor (sorghum) is the source of this 713-nucleotide long non-coding RNA. RefSeq lists it as uncharacterized. Lineage: Eukaryota; Viridiplantae; Streptophyta; Magnoliopsida; Poales; Poaceae. The record is from RefSeq and is a predicted model, not a curated record. The transcript has 2 exons.
AAGUGGCCGAUCGAGGCAGGCAUAUUCCGAUCUGAUCCGAUCCGUCCCGCGGCGCAUGCGCGUUGUGAGAUGGAGAUCCGAGCGCGCCGCGGCAGUCGUACUACACUGUCUCACUGUCUGAAUGCAUGCGGUAGAUGUCGACAAACUUGUCUCUCUACGCGAGCUGAACGUGUCUCUACUAAAAGCUACUAGGUGCUAUCGAUCAGUUCACAGCUCUCCAUCGCCAACACGGCUGCAAUCACUUACUUAUUGGCCGCAUUCCUGCGAUCCUUUUCUUCGACGCCGAUGCAUUAAUGCUCGUCAAGAACCGAUGGAUACACGAACAUGCCCACACAGUGCACGCUCCGUCGAUCGUACACAUGCAUGCAACCGGUGGAAUCGAUAAGCACUGAACGAAGCUCGGAGUAAUAUAUAAUGGCAGCGGUUGAACGUGAACAUCAUAUCGGGGGAAAUGGCACUUGCCGUCAGGGAACACACAUUACAACCACCUGCUUGCUUCUUCUGGUCUACAAGUCGGAUGUCAGUGCUCAUCAGUUCACAGCAACAUGUGACUUCCAGGGUUAAUUAAGCAACAUGUGACUUUGAGUUGUACUAGUAACUUGACAAAGUGGGCUCAUUCUACUAAUUCAGUUGAACCAGACAUCACUGGUUUAUUCGUAACAGUGAGCUGUGACCAUGUCACUGAAGUCUGAAUACAUGAUUUUUUUCUUCUC